GAGCACUGUGGGCAGUAGAGGUCCUGGGUUGCCCCAGCGGGUGAGAGAACGUGGCUGAGCUCUCCCAUCCAUGAGGAUUUGGGGUGGUGUCACCUUGAUUCCAUGUUUUCCACUCCGAAGCUCAGUUUGCUCAGAGGUGAGCAGCUUACAGAAAGGCUUCUGCUGCGGCUCGUGCCAGGAUGGGAGGCGUAGAGGUGCGCUGUGCUUCCAUAGCUCCCCUUGGGGUGCUUCCAUAGCUCCCCACAGCUGAGAGAUGCUGCAAACUGUCACGCUGACCCGUGGCAAUGUGAAUAUCCAUCCCAAGUGUGGUGCAGUGGGAGAGGAUGAGACAGUGAAUGGUUCGCGUGCUGGAAACUACAGAGGUGCUAAAACCUCUAACGCCAAGAAGGUAUGAAAAUAGCUGACGAACUGCUGCCCCUUAAUUGAUGUGGGGGAUUAUGUGGCUUCCGAGCUGAGGAGAAGGGACGCACAGCUACUGUAGAUCCUGAGAUUCACACACAGUUGUGCUUAAUUCGUGACAUAAGACCUGCAAUGGAUCUGCAAAGAACGGAGUGGUACAAAUGAUGGACUAAUAACAUCACGAUACGUACUGCACAGCAGCCAGAGAUGAGAGCACCCAAGGAGCAGUGCUACGGGAAAGAAGAAGAAAACCUUCCCAGUUCCUGAUUUUUUUAUUAUCCGUGAUGUUUUUGAGCAUCUUCCCCUGAAACCUGAAUGCUGCCCAAAUCAGAGGAGCUGCCUUUGCUGCGUGUGCAUCCUGCACUACGCCGUGCCCUACUUAACAGCACGCUCACCUUCAUCAAAGAGGUUGGCAAGCGAUGUCCUGAUUUGGCACAUGCAUUGAACGUUCAGCUUCCUGCUUUGAUAACACAAUUUUGUAGGCCUGGGUCACCACCAGGGACGCGUCACUCAGCUGGACGAGCUCGCCCAAGAAGGAAGGCUUGAAUCAAGGAGUUAAGUUGGAGCUGACAGUGCUUCUGGCCAGCAGCUUUGCUUGAAUCUCUGGGGAGAAAAGCAAUUAUAGAGAAAGCAGCAAUGGAAUUAAUCUGAAACAAAUGAGAAGACUGGGAUUUAAGGACUCUUCUGCUGGUAGGUGAGAGCAAGGAACUAAAACUGUGUUACUGGUGCUGAGGACACCUCCUGUGUUGGCAAACACUGAAGGUUGACCUUGCUAGGGUAGGGUUGGUCAGAGGUUUGGAUGUGUUUAUCGUUCAGGACUGGGUUGCUAAGGCUUCUCAAGUCUCUUGACAUGAGAAAUGAAAGGCUACUUAUGUGCAGGGAAUUUCUUGCUGCCCAGUGCAUACGAGGUCAACAGGACAUGUGUAAUGGUCAAGAGUACUUGUCAGUAACGUGAGUAAGCCACAGAGAAUGGAGGUUUUUAGUAAGUUUCUGUGACAGAGAGAUGUAUGCAGUCCCUUCUGUGGGGUGCUGACAUGGAGGAGCAACUUGAGCUGCAGCACUCGCUGCCCAAAUCGAUACCCCAUAACAGGUGAACGUCAGCUGAACCAGUAUGGAAAUGAGUCCUAUCCUAAAAGAAGGAGGGGUGACCUUGAGGAAUCUCCAUUAGGAAUUCCUCUGGACNGUGCUAAUGAACUAUUUGUACCAUUAGCAAAAUGGAAAAUAAGUUUUCACAUUGUGCAAAAAGUUACAUUAUUUAAAGCUUUUUAUCUAGCUCUUAAUUACAGAGGUGUGCCGUAGUAGUCCUCUGCCCUACCACAGAGCCAAUCUCUUUGAAGCUGAUCACACCUACUGUGUCAGCUGCCAGUGCUACAGAUGUGGUUUUCGGGCUUCAAGAUCUUCUAAGUUACUAAAGGUGCUAUUAGGAGGGAUCCUCUUUGCACAUACAGAAGGAUGCUUGGGGAAUCCUUCGUUUUUAAUGAGUCUUUAGAAAGCGGACAAGGUGGCAGUAGCACUAAGGAGGUUCCUUUUGGAGGAGAGCAUUUACCUGAGCUGACAACUGUUAGCGAUGGGCUUACCUUCAGAUGCACGUAUCAGUAAUUAGUCACCUCU
This 2010-nucleotide long non-coding RNA is filed under the name Pavo cristatus (Indian peafowl). Its description in RNAcentral is "lncRNA (ENSPSTG00000005685.1)". Lineage: Eukaryota; Metazoa; Chordata; Aves; Galliformes; Phasianidae. The record is from RNAcentral.